GAUGAACGCUAGCGGCGGGCUUAACACAUGCAAGUCGAGGGGCAGCGCGGGUUUUUCGGACUUGGCGGCGACCGGCGGACGGGUGAGUAACGCGUACGUUACCUACCUUUAACAGGAGGAUAGAUUUGCGAAAGCGAGAGUAAUACUCCAUAGUAUUGUGAGGGCGGAAGUUUUCGUGAUGAAAGGUUUACUUUAUGAGUGAGCUGGUUAGAGAUGGGCGUGCGUCCUAUUAGUUAGUUGGUGAGGUAAGGCUUACCAAGGACUGCGAUAGGUAGGGUCUUGAGAAGGAUGUCCCCCACACUGGAACUGAGACACGGGUCCAGGACUUCACGGAAGGCAGCAGUGAGGAAUAAUGGUCAAUGAGCGCAAGCUUGAACCUGCCAUGCCGCGUGCAGGAUGAAUGCCUUAUGGGUU
RNAcentral lists this ribosomal RNA (414 nucleotides) under uncultured bacterium. RNAcentral's name for it is "bacterial SSU rRNA". It matches the Rfam family "Bacterial small subunit ribosomal RNA", at positions 28 to 424 of the family's 1533-position model. The record is from RNAcentral.